RNA transcript from Cercocebus atys (sooty mangabey), 6606 nucleotides. It is a transcript of the gene named myelin transcription factor 1, with no coding region annotated. The transcript is spliced from 18 exons. Lineage: Eukaryota; Metazoa; Chordata; Mammalia; Primates; Cercopithecidae. The record is from RefSeq and is a predicted model, not a curated record.
UAUUGGAGCCCCAAGGGUUCAUGGGUAGCGUAUUUACAAAGGAGCCUCCUCCGCCAGCCCGUGCCACCGCUGCUAAUGAGAGCAGUCAUUAAGUAAAUGAGACGUCGCCUUUAGCUGGCUUAGGAGUUCGCACACUAAGGGGAGAAGAUAUUUAAUUGAAACCCGCACGCAGGCUUCCCCACAUGUGACCGCUGUACGGGAGGCAGCUGCCUUCCCUCUCCUCCCCCAGUCCACCCUGCACCCCCCAUGUAAAUUUCAUGAUUGCUUUCCGUGAUGUCAUUUUGAAAGAGGACAGACAAUAGCUGUGGGGAAAGAAAAUGAGUUCCGGGGUGAGCUGCUGAAUCAGAGGUGGACACACGGAGGCAAGGCCAGCAGCUGCAGGACCUCAAGACACCUUCUUGGCAGACACUGCAAGAUGAGCUUAGAAAAUGAAGACAAGCGAGCUCGCACCCGAUCCAAGGCCCUGCGAGGACCCUCCGAGACCACAGCUGCAGACCUCAGCUGCCCCACCCCGGGAUGCACUGGCUCAGGACACGUCCGGGGCAAGUACUCCAGGCACCGAAGUUUACAGAGCUGCCCCCUGGCCAAGAAGAGGAAGCUGGAGGGCGCUGAGGCUGAGCACCUGGUGUCCAAGAGGAAGUCGCACCCCCUGAAGCUGGCUCUGGACGAGGGCUGUGGUGUGGACAGCGACGGCAGUGAGGACACCGAGGUGAAGGACGCCUCUGUUUCGGAUGAAUCGGAAGGAACUCUGGAGGGGGCCGAGGCUGAGACAUCAGGACAGGAGGAGAUUCAUCGCCCCGAGCCAGCUGAAGGAAGGAGCCCCAUCAAGUCCCAUUUUGGAUCCAACCCCACUGGCUCCUCCAAGGGCAGCUAUAGCAGUUACCAGGGAAUCAUCGCCACUUCUCUGCUGAACUUGGGUCAAAUUGCUGAAGAGACUCUGGCGGCCAAGCCAGGCCCUGGCGUCGUGCACCUGCUUCAGGAGGCCACAGAGGGAGCCGCCAGCAAGGAGGGUGAAAAGGGCCUCUUCAUCCAGCCAGAGGAUGCCGAGGAGGUCGUAGAAGUCACCACCGAACGCUGCCAGGACCUGUGUCCCCAGUCCCUGGAGGAUGCAGCCAGUGAGGAGUCCAGCAAGCAGAAAGGCAUCCUGAGUCACGAAGAGGAGGAGGAGGAGGAGGAGGAGGAGGAAGAGGAGGAGGAAGAGGAUGAAGAAGAGGAAGAGGAAGAAGACGAGGAAGAGGAGGAGGAAGAGGACGAGGAGGAGGAGGAGGAGGAGGAGGAGGAGGCAGCUCCUGAUGUGAUCUUUCAGGAGGACACCUCUCACACCUCUGCCCAGAAGGCACCUGAGCUCCAGGGCCCAGAACCACCCAGUCCCAAGCCUGAGUACUCUGUUAUUGUGGAGGUCCGCUCGGAUGAUGACAAGGACGAGGACACCCACUCCCAGAAGUCAACAGUCACUGACGAGUCGGAGAUGCACGACAUGAUGACCCGGGGCAACCUGGGCCUCCUGGAGCAGGCCAUUGCCCUGAAGGCUGAACAGGUGCGCACGGUCUGUGAGCCGGGCUGCCCGCCUGCCGAGCAGAGCCAGCUGGGCCUGGGAGAGCCAGGGAAGGCAGCAAAGGCCCUGGACACUGUUCGGAAGAGCUACUACAGUAAAGAUCCUUCAAGAGCUGAGAAGCGUGAGAUCAAGUGUCCAACACCAGGCUGUGAUGGCACUGGCCACGUUACCGGGUUGUACCCUCACCACCGCAGCCUUUCUGGCUGUCCCCACAAGGAUAGGAUCCCCCCAGAGAUCUUAGCCAUGCAUGAGAACGUGCUAAAGUGCCCCACUCCCGGCUGCACAGGCCAGGGCCACGUGAACAGCAACCGCAACACGCACAGAAGUUUGUCUGGGUGUCCCAUUGCUGCCGCCGAAAAAUUAGCCAAAUCCCAUGAGAAGCAGCAGCCGCAGACAGGAGAUCCUUCCAAGAGCAGCUCCAAUUCUGAUCGGAUCCUCAGGCCUAUGUGCUUCGUGAAGCAGCUCGAGGUCCCUCCAUAUGGGAGCUACCGGCCCAACGUGGCCCCUACCACGCCCAGGGCCAACUUGGCCAAGGAGCUGGAGAAGUUCUCCAAGGUCACCUUUGACUACGCAAGUUUCGAUGCUCAGGUUUUUGGCAAACGCAUGCUUGCCCCAAAGAUUCAGACCAGCGAAACCUCACCUAAAGCCUUUCAAUCCAAACCUUUCCCAAAGGCCUCUUCCCCCAGGCACAGCCCCUCCAGUAGUUACGUGAGGAGCACUUCAUCCUCUUCUGCAGGCUUUGACUACUCACACGAUGCCGAGGCUGCACACAUGGCUGCCACUGCCAUCCUGAACCUCUCCACACGCUGCUGGGAGAUGCCUGAGAACCUCAGCACGAAGCCACAGGACCUCCCCAGCAAGUCUGUGGAUAUUGAGGUAGAUGAGAAUGGAACCCUGGACUUGAGCAUGCACAAACACCGCAAGCGAGAACAGGCUUUCCCCAGCAGCAGCAGCUGCAGCAGCAGCCCCGGCGUGAAGUCUCCUGACACCUCCCAGCGCCAGAGCAGCACCAGCGCCCCCAGCAGCUCCAUGACCUCUCCCCAGUCCAGCCAGGCCUCCCGCCAGGACGAGUGGGACCGGCCCCUGGACUACACCAAGCCUAGCCGCCUGAGAGAGGAGGAGCCUGAGGAGUCAGAGCCAGCAGCCCAUUCUUUUGCUUCUUCUGAAGCAGAUGACCAGGAAGUGUCGGAAGAGAAUUUUGAGGAGCGGAAGUAUCCGGGGGAAGUCACCCUGACCAACUUUAAGCUGAAGUUUCUCUCCAAGGACAUAAAGAAGGAGCUGCUCACCUGUCCCACCCCUGGCUGUGACGGCAGCGGCCACAUCACUGGGAACUAUGCCUCCCACCGCAGCCUCUCUGGUUGCCCUCUUGCUGACAAGAGCCUCAGAAACCUCAUGGCUGCCCACUCUGCUGACCUCAACUGCUUCUGCCUUGGCCCUGAUGCCCUUCCUCCAUGCUUAUGCCUUCUGUUUGCUGGGCUCACCCGUUUCUGCUUCUGCACCUCCCUGCCCCUACCUAACACAUGGGCAGGGCAGGCCCUGCAGGCACCAGCUAGCCUGCUUGACAGUCCCGCACAACCAGGCGCAAGCACCCAGAGGUUUCCAGGUAUCAGUGUCCUCUUGGGGUUGGAGUCAGGAACUGUUAUUGCCUUUGGUUUUCAUGCCUCCAGUUGUGCUGUGACUCCACAGCCUAUGUGACCCUGAGCCACGGGGAGCACCUCCUGGGCACUGGGGUUGAGUUGAAGCCUUGGAGGAAGGGGGUCCCAUUCUUGUCUCCUCAGGGCACCCCUCUCCAGGGGUGUCCCUCCCUCCCAUAGGCCUCUGUGUUGGGGGCCCUGAAUUCAGGUCAACACACCCCAUCUCAUUCCAUUCUGGGGCCAGACAGGAUCCCGGGCACUGGUGCCUCUAAGAUGAGGAAAUGAAAUUGCUGAAGGCUUCUGGGACCGUAGCUGGCUCAGAGCUGGACAGAAAGCUCUGAGUCUCCCAGAGCCCCCACCAGCAGCCUUGUCUCUGUUUCUCUCUGGAGGCUGCCCUGGCCCCAGCAGCCAGGAGGAGUGUGUCAUCGGGCCCUUCAGUUCCCACAGGGUGGGGUGCACCAUCUCAGUUUCCUUCCUGGAAGUUAAUAGCUUCCACAUAAGCAUUUCUGAGGCUUAGAUCACCACAGCCGAUUCACACAUGGACUUAUUCAUUCAUUCUGCCCCUCACUUUGUCUAGUCCUAGAAACCCAGGAAACACUCAGUCCUGCAGCUUCUGGGACUGUCCUCUCUCCCUCUUUCCUUCUCUUGCCAUCUUUCUUGCAUUCCUUUUUCCUUUUCCAGUUCUGCUUUCUUUUCUAUGAUUAGUUCCCAUGGUGUUUCCCAUUUGAGGGCCUGAAUAAUUGAAGGGCGAGAAAUGUGGCUGCGUGCACCCAGUGGCCCCAAUGUCACCGUGUCCUUUCUGUCCUGCUAAGUGGAUGCCCAGGUGGAUGAAAGGAGCUUGGCACGGCUCCGGCCUGGAGACAUGGCCAUCUGGGAGAGUUAGUGCUUUUUUAAGACUAAGAGCCUGUGAAGAACUUUGACUCCAAACUUCUUUAGAAAUAACGACCAAAAGCCUCCCCUGUGUGAAAGUGAACCACUCAUCAGCAUCGGCAAGGUGUGGGCAGGCAGCCAAGGCCUCCAGGCUCCUUCAGAAGCUCCACUCUCCCCCAGGGGCCUUUCCAUGGGAGGCCGCUUCCUCUCCCCACUCCGACCACUGCACGAGCUUGGGACGAUGGUGGUCCUGCCCCGCCACGUGUCCUGGUGUACCAACCUCCUUGCUCUCUGCCACCUCCUGUGUGAGGGGGCAUCAGGCACUGGCUCCUCCUGAUCAGCCUUGUGGCAGCCAUGGGUGAAGGUGGCCUUGAGAAAAAUGAGGUUCCUUUCUUGACCUCCCUGUCCACAACUGGCUGCAGUGACAGUCGGAUGAUGUGUGUUCUGUGUUUUAAGUGAAUCCCAAGGGUGUUCACUCUUCCCUCCCAUGUGUCUGAUGUGGUCAAGGGCUGGGAGGACAUGGUUGCCUCCGGCCACAGCCACACACACCUGCCAGGGCAUGACAGGCUUUGUGCAGAGUGAAGAAUGCCUGUCCACAGCACAGGGAUGGGGCUGAGAGAGGUGAGACCUGGUGUGUAUUGCCAAGGCAGAGGGUGUCCCUCAGACAUGGUGCUCCCUUCUGCCCAGAUGCGACACUCAGAAACAGGCAGUGGGAGGGGUGGAGGUGGCUCCAGAUUCCUGCAGCUGACCCUGGGGGUCCACAGGGCCAUAAGGGGCAUGCAGAGGGGACACCUGCUCCUCUGACUAUGUGAGCACUUUCCUCUCUUGGACACAACUCUUGAGAAAAGCCAUUGAAUCCGGCCUCAGUGAGGAGUGCAGGACGGCCCCACCUGUGUGUUAGGUACCUGACGGCCCCUUGGGAGUUAUACCCCCACCUGAGACUCACUCACAGAUGCCAUCGGGGAGUAUCUGCCCUGCUGCUGAUGCCACUCACAGCCCAAUGCUGUGCUUAUCCCCGUCGAGGCCUGGAGCUGCUGUGGGUCUGUCACUCUGGCACCUGAGUGGCCACUUGCCCACCGCACUGAACCGGAGCUCUACCCGAUGCUUUCCUGCCACUGAGACAAGGAGCUGGAGCCCCACGUGGCCACUUGAACAGCUACCAACCCAGGAAGGACAGGCAGGCCACCUUCAGUUCUCUGGGCUGGCCAGCAAGGUAUCCAACGUGUGGCCCACAGGGCAAGGAUGAAGGAACCUGAGACUCCCCACGAGGGCACCCCGAGAAAACUCCUAGGGGCUGAAGAGAAGGUUGCAAGAGGUGGGGCCAGCCCUGCUGUGCCACCAUAGCCCUUUGGGUGCCAGGCUGUGCCCGGCCGCAUCUUCCUCUAAGCGAGGAGAUGUCCUGCCCCAGUGGCCAGAUGUCACAUGUGCUGGUGGAAGACUCCGGUGAGGAAGGGCCGGCAGCACGGAAAGUGAGACGUCCUCCCUGGGGUCUGAGCACCACAGCAAAGUGCCCAUGAGUAGCAGGUGAUCUGGACACAAGCACUGAACUCUUGCCUGGCUCCUGCAGGGUCAGGAUGCUCGUGAGGGGUGAGGCACAGACAGCAGCCCUGACGGGGGAUGGAUCUACCCGCACAAUCAGGUCACCUCCUCCCACUCUAACAUCAGCAGGAACUCACAUAUUUUUCCUCAGUGGACAUUCGGAAGAAAAUAGCAUCCGUGCUUGUAAUAUUAAAGUGGAAUUUUGUACCACUUUACGUGAUGCAUUCAUCACAUAGUUUUGGGUGUAUAAAGUUGGACUUUUGUGCUUCUCCUUAGUCUGCUAUAAGCUACUGGCUGUGUGAACUCUGAAGUCACGCCACACAACAGCCAGGCCUGGCAUGGCCAGCGCUAUCUGCUAUGCAGCAGGUGUGCAAAAAAGCCUCUGUUCAUUUACCAGCCCAUAGUGGCAACCCUUUGUGAGGGCAAGCUCCCAGCCCGUCCAAGAAGAUGAACUGGUCUUAGGAUCUGGAGAACUCAUGCUUGAAGUUAUGGCUCAGAUAUGCUCUGAAUGCCUUUAGUGCAGCCUAGACCCUACAGAAGUCCAAGCUGGGAGCCCUUCGUGUCCUUGGGCUGCUGUGGACCCUGUAGGCCUGUCCCAGUGCCCAGGUUUGGUGUCUGGGUGUAAACCGAUGCUGGAGCAGCAGUUGGCUGCUGUCCUCUCAGACUUCCUGGUCUCCCUUGGGGAGACAGGGGAGCAAAGUACUGAAGCCCUGAGGUGAUCUCAUCAGACCUCUGUUGCUGGCAGUAGGCAGCUGGGGUGAACAUCAGUGAUGUUCCUCUGUGGACAAGGGAAUGUGAGUGGGCUCACUCAAGGGCUGUGCCCGGAAGGCUUUCCUCUGGGAGUCCCAGGGCUCUGGGCCGGUUCCAGUCUUCCCGGGCUCUGGUUCCAGUUCUGCUUUCCUCUGCAGGUGCCCCACGCCCGGCUGUGACGGCUCUGGCCAUAUCACAGGGAACUACGCUUCACACCGGAGCUUGUCCGGCUGCCCUCGUGCAAAGAAAAGUGGAGUC